RNAcentral lists this transfer RNA (61 nucleotides) under Quadrula quadrula (mapleleaf mussel). RNAcentral describes it as "tRNA-Lys". The record is from RNAcentral. Lineage: Eukaryota; Metazoa; Mollusca; Bivalvia; Unionida; Unionidae.
CUCUUGAUGGCCGAGAUAGGCAUUAAGCUUUUAACUUAACCACAGAACAAAACUUCGAGAG